This is an RNA transcript of Leguminivora glycinivorella, 1373 nucleotides long. It is a transcript of the gene named oocyte zinc finger protein XlCOF26-like, with no coding region annotated. Lineage: Eukaryota; Metazoa; Arthropoda; Insecta; Lepidoptera; Tortricidae. The record is from RefSeq and is a predicted model, not a curated record. The transcript has 5 exons.
UCCCGAUAAGGAACGCGAUACAAUAAAUAAAAAAAGGAGUGAAGCGGUGUACAAUGUAGAAUAAUGUAAAAUAUUGUUUUAUUUGUACAUUAAGUAAGAGGCUUAUAAGGAGGUGUUUGUAAUAUAUUUUCAUAGCAAUAAUGACUACUGAAGUAGAAGAAAGUUGUUUUGUUUGCUCAAAAACCGGCGGCAACUUGAACAUCUUCUCCACUUAUAGCAUCUGCGAAAACAAAGAGGAGUUGUACGUUGAAGUCAUCAAAAACUGUUUCAGCAUUGAGAUUGGGCAGGACUCAGGUCUCAAUGCGUUGUGCACUGAUUGUAGCAUUAAGCUCCGACAAGCAUAUUCAUUUAAAACUGAAAUAGUACAAGCUGUGAACAAACUGGUGGUUUUACAAGAUAUUGCACAGGAACCCGAAUAUGUCAAAUAUUUGGAGCAUACAUUUGAAAAUGACUACAACAUCAAUUCUGUUCUCAACCCGGAAACCGGACAAAUAUCUUACACUUUAGAUAAAAUAGAAGAAAUUAAACCAACUAAUGAACAAGACACAUACAUGAUUGAUUUAGAAAAUGAUGCCAUAAUCCCUAAGACAGAGGCAGAUAAGAAAGUUAAAAAAACUAAAAGGAAAAAUGUUGUUAAAGAGAACUUACCAAAUAAUAAAAAUAAAAAAGCGAAACAGAAUAAUGUUGAGAUUAAAAAGCAAAGCUGAGUAAGGCUAGGAAAAAGAAAGAAACUGAAGAUAUUUCAGCUAUUGAUACUGAGAAAGCUAAUGAUGUAGAUAUUGUCCAAAAUGAAGCGGAGAAACCUAAAAAAAUUAUUACAAUUGAAGGGAAUUUGGUGAAUGCACCUGAUGAAGAGAAAAAAAGUAAGAAGCCAAAGAAAGGAAAAAAUGCCAAAUCGUCCCCAUUUACCCUCGAGCCCGGGCAGACCAAAUGCACCAUCUGCAACACACAGUUUGAGACCACAAGGCUCUCCGGAACCACAUGAACGCUCACUACCCGGACCAUGUUUGUGGGGAGUGCGGCAUGGUCUUCGCAAGCCAGGAGAGGCUUCGCUCCCAUGUGUACCAGAUUCAUAAUGCUGAUGACUCGCCGACUUGCAAGUAUUGCGACAAGGUUUUCACCAAUGUGAACACCCGAAACGCUCACAUGUGGCGUACCCACACCAAACCGGACCCGUUCAAGUGUGCGCAGUGCGGCGAGCGGUUCAAGACCUACCUCAAACGGCUUCGGCACAUGCAGUCUGAACACGGAGAGGUCACAGAGUAUCCAUGCCAUUACUGUGACAAGAAGUUCGCGUAUGCUGGUAAGUAUGCAACCCUGGUACUCGCGGGACAAAUUGGCUGGUAGUUUCUUUAUUUUUAAGUCAUAAAUGG